This 447-nucleotide ribosomal RNA is filed under the name Arthrobacter sp. Its description in RNAcentral is "bacterial SSU rRNA". It matches the Rfam family "Bacterial small subunit ribosomal RNA", at positions 22 to 509 of the family's 1533-position model. The record is from RNAcentral. Lineage: Bacteria; Bacillati; Actinomycetota; Actinomycetes; Micrococcales; Micrococcaceae.
GCUCAGGAUGAACGCUGGCGGCGUGCUUAACACAUGCAAGUCGAACGAUGAUCUCCAGCUUGCUGGGGGGAUUAGUGGCGAACGGGUGAGUAACACGUGAGUAACCUGCCCUUGACUCUGGGAUAAGCCUGGGAAACUGGGUCUAAUACCGGAUACGACCGCUCCACGCAUGUGGUGGUGGUGGAAAGCUUUUGCGGUUUUGGAUGGACUCGCGGCCUAUCAGCUUGUUGGUGGGGUAAUGGCCUACCAAGGCGACGACGGGUAGCCGGCCUGAGAGGGUGACCGGCCACACUGGGACUGAGACACGGCCCAGACUCCUACGGGAGGCAGCAGUGGGGAAUAUUGCACAAUGGGCGCAAGCCUGAUGCAGCGACGCCGCGUGAGGGAUGACGGCCUUCGGGUUGUAAACCUCUUCAGUAGGGAAGAAGCGCCGGCUAACUACGUGCC